RNAcentral lists this ribosomal RNA (505 nucleotides) under uncultured bacterium. Its description in RNAcentral is "partial 16S ribosomal RNA". It matches the Rfam family "Bacterial small subunit ribosomal RNA", at positions 28 to 507 of the family's 1533-position model. The record is from RNAcentral.
GACGAACGCUGGCGGCGUGCCUAAUACAUGCAAGUAGAACGCACAGUUUAUACCGUAGCUUGCUACACCAUGAACUGUGAGUUGCGCACGGGUGAGUAUCGCGUAGGUAACCUGCCUGGUAGCGGGGGAUCACUAUUGGAAACGAUAGCUAAUAUCGCAUACUAUUGAUUAUUGCAUGAUAAUUGAUUGAAAGAUGCUAUUGCAACGCUAACCGAUGGACCUGCGCUGUAUUAGCUAGUAGGUGAGGUAACGGCCCAUCUAGGUGACGAUACUUAGCCGACCUGAGAGGGUGAUCUGCCUCGCUGGGAUUGGGACACGACCCAGACUCCUGCGAGAGGCAGCAGUAGGGAAUCUUCGGCGAAGGACGAAAGUCUGACCAAUCAACACCGCGUGAGUGAAGAAGGUUUUCGUGUCGUAAAGCUCUGGUGUAAGAGAAGAUCGGGUAUGAGAGUGGAAAGUGCACACUGUGACAGUAUCGUACCAGAAAGGGACGGCUAACUACGUG